This 585-nucleotide ribosomal RNA is filed under the name Triticum aestivum (bread wheat). Its description in RNAcentral is "partial small subunit ribosomal RNA". Lineage: Eukaryota; Viridiplantae; Streptophyta; Magnoliopsida; Poales; Poaceae. The record is from RNAcentral.
AUGGGUUAUCAUCAAAUUCGCAUUCGUGAACAAGAUAUUCCCAAGACAGCAUUCAGAACAAGCUAUGGUUCUUAUGAAUAUACUGUCAUGCCUUUCGGCCUUGUCAAUGCUCCUCCAACAUUGUCUCGAAUGAUGAACUUCAUCUUCAACCCCUACACUAAUGAAUUCGCCUUGGUGUAUCUCGAUGAUAUCUUGGUCUUCUCCAAGAAUAAGAAGGAUCAUGCCAAACAUUUGCGAUUGGUGCUCGACAAGCUCAGAGAGCAUCAAUUCUAUGCCAAGUUUUUGAAAUGUGAGUUAUGGCUUGAUGAAGUUCUUUAUCUUGGUCACAUCAUCUCCGCCAAGGGCAUUGCUAUUAAUCCCGAGAAGGUGUCUGCAAUUGUGAAUUGGGAACCUCCUCAGAAUGUCAAGCAGCUCCGCAGUUUUCUUGGCUUGCAAGAUAUUGCCGAAGAUUCGUUGAGAACUUCUCUAAGAUUGCAAAGCCUCUUUCCAACCUCCUCCAGAAGCAUGUCAAGUAUGUCUGGUCGCCUGAGUGUGACGUUGCUUUCAACACCCUCAAAGAGAAGCUUGUCUCAACUCCUGUGUUGA